CAGCAGCGCGGUAAUACGUAGGGUGCAAGCGUUAAUCGGAAUUACUGGGCGUAAAGCGUGCGCAGGCGGUUAUAUAAGACAGAUGUGAAAUCCCCGGGCUCAACCUGGGAACUGCAUUUGUGACUGUAUAGCUAGAGUACGGCAGAGGGGGAUGGAAUUCCGCGUGUAGCAGUGAAAUGCGUAGAUAUGCGGAGGAACACCGAUGGCGAAGGCAAUCCCCUGGGCCUGUACUGACGCUCAUGCACGAAAGCGUGGGGAGCAAACAGGAUUAGAUACCCCAGUAGUCCCUGUCUCUUAUACA
This 301-nucleotide ribosomal RNA is filed under the name uncultured bacterium. RNAcentral describes it as "partial 16S ribosomal RNA". It matches the Rfam family "Bacterial small subunit ribosomal RNA", at positions 509 to 808 of the family's 1533-position model. The record is from RNAcentral.